CGUAAAUCGUUGUUUUGAGAAAGUUUCGAUCGAUCGACUUGGGUUCUGUCCGUCUGUGCUUCCGGAGGUCCUGAUGACUCGUACCGCCGCUUCCCCUGUUCAUCCGGACACGGAGGUUACGGUACCAGAAGGCCGGUUGCAGGUCGAAUACGAGGCCGUCUCCGGCCGGUUUUCCGCGGCGGCGGAUCACGUCCAUUUCGCAACAGCUGCAGCUGGAGACACAGCUCGUUGCCGUUGUCGAGAGUGCGUCGCUCUGGGGGCAUGUUUCGGCUACUACGUUCAUCACCACCCUUUUGGCGACCUGUUUUUCGGUUCCCGAAUAGAUCCACCACUUACGAGACGCGCACCUUCUUCUUAGUACACUGAUUUAUAGUCAAAUAGGUUCAAUAUAGACAGUUUAUGCCAAGACACCAGCUUCUUUGGAGAGAUGUAUACCUCACAUCGAACACUUUCACCAGCUCGUCUGUUCAUCAUCAUAAAGUAAGCAAGUACGUACAAGAAGUAAACACAUAUAUAUAUAUGACAUCAAUACAACCACUUAAACAUGUCACCUAGUUUAUAUG
This 563-nucleotide ribosomal RNA is filed under the name Triticum aestivum (bread wheat). RNAcentral's name for it is "partial small subunit ribosomal RNA". The record is from RNAcentral. Lineage: Eukaryota; Viridiplantae; Streptophyta; Magnoliopsida; Poales; Poaceae.